RNAcentral lists this ribosomal RNA (494 nucleotides) under uncultured bacterium. RNAcentral describes it as "partial 16S ribosomal RNA". It matches the Rfam family "Bacterial small subunit ribosomal RNA", at positions 28 to 507 of the family's 1533-position model. The record is from RNAcentral.
GACGAACGCUGGCGGCGUGCUUAACACAUGCAAGUCGAGCGGAAAGGCCUGCUUUCCCUUGUGGAUUGCGGGUACUCGAGUGGCGAACGGGUGAGUAACACGUGAGUGAUCUGCCCCCAACUUGGGUAUAAGCCUGGGAAACUGGGUCUAAUUCCCGAUAGGACUGCAGGGUGGUGCCUGUGGUGGAAAACGAUUUUCUAGUGGUUGGGGAUGAGCUCGCGGCCUAUCAGCUUGUUGGUGGGGUAAUGGCCUACCAAGGCGGCGACGGGUAGCCGGCCUGAGAGGGUGGACGGCCACAUUGGGACUGAGAUACGGCCCAGACUCCUACGGGAGGCAGCAGGGGGGAAUAUUGCACAAUGGGCGGAAGCCUGAUGCAGCGACGCCGCGUGGGGGAUGACGGCCUUCGGGUUGUAAACUCCUUUCGACCGCGAGGAAGCCACCUGGUUGGAAGGGUGGUGACGUUAGUGGUAGAAGAAGCACCGGCUAACUACGUG